AAGAGAGGUUUGAUAACAACAAGAACUGCUAAUUCUUCCACCCUGAGUUUAAUUCCCAGGCUCACUUG
Molecule: non-coding RNA, 68 nt
Organism: Cynoglossus semilaevis (tongue sole)
Lineage: Eukaryota; Metazoa; Chordata; Actinopteri; Pleuronectiformes; Cynoglossidae
Source: Ensembl